Molecule: ribosomal RNA, 395 nt
Filed under: uncultured bacterium
Lineage: Bacteria
Description: partial 16S ribosomal RNA
Rfam family: Bacterial small subunit ribosomal RNA
Source: RNAcentral
AUACGUAGGGUGCAAGCGUUAAUCGGAAUUACUGGGCGUAAAGCGUGCGCAGGCGGUUCGGAAAGAAGGAUGUGAAAUCCCAGGGCUCAACCUUGGAACUGCAUUCUUAACUACCGAACUAGAGUAUGUCAGAGGGGGGUAGAAUUCCGCGUGUAGCAGUGAAAUGCGUAGAUAUGAGGAGGAAUACCGAUGGCGAAGGUAGCCCCCUGGGAUAAUACUGACGCGAAUGCACGAUAGCGUAGGAAGGAAACAGGAUUAGAGACCCUGGUAGUCCACGCCCUAAACGAUGUCCACUAGCUUUUGGGCCCUUCGGGGCUUAUUACCGUAGCUAACGCAUGAAGUUGACCGCCUGGGGAGUACGGUCGCAAGAUGAAAACUCAAAGGAAUUGACUGGG